GGGCCCAUAGCUCAGCGGUAGAGCGGCCGGCUCAUAACCGGUUGGUCCCUGGUUCGAAUCCGGGUGGGCCCACCA
RNAcentral lists this transfer RNA (75 nucleotides) under Bacillota bacterium. RNAcentral's name for it is "Firmicutes bacterium (anaerobic digester metagenome) tRNA-Ile". It matches the Rfam family "tRNA". Rfam says of the family: Transfer RNA (tRNA) molecules are approximately 80 nucleotides in length. Their secondary structure includes four short double-helical elements and three loops (D, anti-codon, and T loops). The record is from RNAcentral. Lineage: Bacteria; Bacillati; Bacillota. RNAcentral also lists the same sequence under 3 other names.